GGGACGCGGAGCUGGUGGGAUCGCGCCAUGGCCUGGGCCCCUCUCCUCCUCGCGGUGCUCGCCCACGGCUCAGGUUCCCUGGUCCAGGCAGCAGUGACUCAGCCAGCCUCGCUGUCCGUGUCCCCGGGACAAACCGCCCGGAUCACCUGCUCUGGGAGUAGCUACUAUGGCAGAAACCUGGCAGUGCCCCGGUCACUGUGAUAUAUGGUAAUACCAACAGACCCUCGAACAUCCCUGCGCGAUUCUCCGCUUCCACCUCUGGCUCCACAAGCACAUUGACCAUCACUGGGGUGCAAGCCGAGGACGAGGCAGUGUAUUACUGUGGUGGCAACAGUGGUGCUUUCGGCGCGGGGACCAUGUUGACCGUCCUGGGUCAGCCCAAGGUCUCCCCCACCGUGCACCUCUUCCCACCAUCCUCCGAUGAGAUUGCGCAGAAGAGCAAAGCCACCCUGGUGUGUCUGCUGGGCAACUUCUACCCCGGCGCUGCAGAGGUUGCCUGGAAGGCCGAUGGCAGCCCCAUCUCCAACGGUGUGGAGACCACCAAGCCCCAGAGGCAGAGCAACAACCAGUACAUGGCCAGCAGCUACCUGACACUGACUGCCAGCGACUGGAAGAGCCACGAGACCUACACCUGCGAGGUCACGCACGAUGGCAAGAGAAUCGAGAAGGUCCUCAAGAGAUCCGAGUGCUCCUCCUAACCCACCGGGAGCUCCACUGUCUCCUCUCCUCAUCCCCCUCCACUUCCCCAUCCCCAUCCCCGUCCCCCCCCCCC
Non-coding RNA from Struthio camelus australis, 772 nucleotides. NCBI's taxonomy places the organism in Eukaryota, Metazoa, Chordata, Aves, Struthioniformes, Struthionidae. The record is from the annotation of a RefSeq genome assembly.